This 468-nucleotide ribosomal RNA is filed under the name uncultured bacterium. RNAcentral's name for it is "partial 16S ribosomal RNA". It matches the Rfam family "Bacterial small subunit ribosomal RNA", at positions 28 to 507 of the family's 1533-position model. The record is from RNAcentral.
GAUGAACGCUGGCGGCGUGCUUAACACAUGCAAGUCGAACGGAAAGGUCCUGCUUUUGUGGGUUGCUCGGGUGGCGAGGGGGGGAGUAAGUCGGGAGUAAGCUGCCCUGUCCGUGGGGAUAGCUUGAGGAAACUGGGGAUACUACCGGAUAUGAGCCCGUCCCGCGUGGAGGGGGUUGGAAAGAGUCGGCGGUGGGGAAUGGUCCGGCGGCUUAUCAGGUUGUUGGUGGGGUAGUGGCUGACCACGGCGUUGACGGGUAGCCGGCAUGAGAGGGUGACCGGCCACCACGGGACGGCGGUGCGGCCCAGACUACUCCGGGAGGCAGCAGUAGGGAAUAUUGCACGAUGGUCGGAAGAAUGAUGCAGCAACGCCGCUGGCGGGACGACGGCCGUUGGGUUGUUAACCGCUUUCGCCUGUGACGAAGCGUGAGUGACGGUAAUGGGUAAAGAAGCACCGGCUAACUACGUG